GGUCGUGGGCCAAGCAGACGGCGUAAUACAGCCUGAGAUAACGCGGGGUUGGACGCCCGUCCGCCGUCUACAAGGUGAGCCGUGGCUCGAAAUCGGAGUGACAUCUGAUCCGUGGCUCAGGUUGUUUCCUUUCCGUGCGCUGCCAAGGAAUUCGAUGCAGGCGCGAGCGCCUCCCCCACCCAGAUCGAGGGUCCCUGUGAGAUAGAGACGCGGAGCUACGGCGGCGAGCGACAAUGGAUUUUCCGAUGUAACCAAUCGGCAGGUACGCGCAUCCGUGCUUUUCCCUGCGGUCUCUCCUCGGUUUGUAGGCGGAUUGCUUUCGUGGCUGGCAGAGGAGCUUCCAAUUUUUCAGAUCUUGUUUCAUUGAAGAUGUGGGGGAGAGCUUGGUGCCGCCCCCCUGUGACUGCGGCCGUAGGCUUGGCGACGGGCCCUGUGUUUGCCCAUGGCGAUAUGAGGGUACAUCUGAUGGUUUUGCAGCAGCCGCAGAAGUCUGGGUGGAAUAAGUUGUUGAGGAUUGGUGCCGCUGCACCCAGCAGAGCACUGCACCCGAAUCAUAUUACUGCAUUCGAGAAUGCUGUUCUGAUGUUUUACCGAUUAUCCAUCUGAAAUUGUGAUCUCUCCAGUUCUGGGGACUUCAUUUGAAUCGUUGGGUGAGGCUUAUAAUUUUUGCAAUCUAUAUUCCUGGGAGAAGGGAUUUGGCAUAAGGUAUGGAAAAAUAGCCGACUUAAUGUCAAGAGGAUGAAAUGCGUGUGGGAAAUAGUUUGUGGGUGCUUGGUUACUGGUCUUUUCAUGGUUACUGGUCUUUUCUUGAAUGCUAUUUGUUCAGCAUUAUGAUGCGUCCAUUUCUGCCUCGGCUUUCGUUUCGUGCAUUGACGCUAAAUUGUAUUCGUGCUCCAGGGGAAGACUGGUGUAAAGAACACAAGGUCCUGCUAGUGUCAAUGUCCAACUCUGAUAAGAUUUUUGUGGGCCGAGGAAAAAUGUUGGUACAUUGCAGAGCACAAAGAGAGUCACAACCAUUCACCUUCACCUAAUUUUGGGGAGACAAUCCACUGGCCAAUGGCCAUCACACAAGCAUAUUCAUGUUUACAUCGGGGAAUGUUCCAUUCAUGAAAAGGUCUUUGCGUAAUCAGUGUGGGAAGAUAAACUGGGAGCAGGCAAACGAUGAUAUGAGGAAGACGAUGCAUGUGUUUGAAGAGAUUGGAGGGAAGGAUCCCACAUUACAUACAGAGUUCAAGCUGAUAACGAUGGCAGAUUGACAACCUCAUGUGGGCUAGCGGCAGCAGUAGGCUUCAGUACACAUUUCUUGGAGAUGUCAUAACAUUUGAUACCACGUAUAAGAUAAACCUGUACGACAUGCCUUUCGGGUUGUUUCUUGGUGUUAACAAUCAUUUUCAGAGUACCAUAUUGGCUGGAGUUCUUGUUUGCGAUGAGACAGCGAAGAGUUUUGAGUGGGUUUUCACCGAAUUUCUGAGAAUGAUGGGUGAUGAUCCACCGGUGACCAUACUUAUAGAACCAAGCCAUGGAGCUAGCGAUCAAGAGCAGAAUGUCGGACACCACGCACAGGUGGUGCAAGUGGAACAUCCUAAAAAUGGCAAAGGGGUCCUUGGGUGCUUUGUACACCAAGAAAAGUGAGUUCCGAGCAGAGUUCCAUAAUGUGGUGAACCACAUGCUAACAUGCUAACGGGGUACGAAUUUGAGAGGGGGUGGUACAUGUUGCUUGAAAAGUACAAGCUAAGAACACACCCAUACAUGUCGUGGGCCAGAAUCACUAGUAUUCAUCUGAUCCGUGGCUCAGAAAAUUCACUUUCCGUCAAAGGACGGCAGACGCGCAUUGACUGCAAGCCCUGCGGCCCCUGACUCUUCUGCCCCAGAGCCGCGGGCAUUUUCGUCAAGAGGAAAAGAAGAGGCGACUGCCGCGCCAUGGAGUUCCUAAUGCAUCCGAUCCGCAGGUCGGGGAGAAUCUGGUGCCAGAAGGUUUGUCAGCGGAUCGUACAAGGCGAACUGUGGUGGAGGUGACAAUGCAGGAGGGCACGGUCUUGAGCGGCGACGGACGGGUCUGCGGGGCGUCAGGAGCGGCGGCAAUGAGCGGCCAAGGGCGAAUCUGCAGCACUACGCAGGCGAUGUCAAUGAGCCGCGAAUGCCGAAUGGCUAAUCUGUAGCACGGCGCAGGCGGCAGUGGUGAGAAGGGACAACUCGCCUCAUACGUCUGAGCUGUCGACGGGGAAGAUAACUCCCCAGGCUCUGCUUGGAAUAAGAGGUUGCGGAUUGGUGCCGCUGGCCCAACCAGGGCACCUUGGCCAACCCGUGUAGGCGCGUUUGAGAAGGCAGUGAGUGUUUUCUCCUAUGCCGGUGUAGUGGUUUCAUUAAGUUUCCAUGGCAUAGCUUUGCAUGAACCAUUUUCUUUUAGUAUAUCAAGAAGAAGCUAAUGUUAAUAAGCAUGUCGGACAUACAUACGAAUAUUUCCCGCUUGAGGUUAUGAUGCAGAAGAGUACAUUUCCCAUAGUGAUGCUCGAGGGGUGAUUUGCUGGAGUAGUCCUAGCUUAAUUUUCUGUCGUGGCAGUGCACCCUAGCGUCCUGGCAGAGGAUGGAAUGAGUACCCCGCCACUCAAAACUAAGCAUGCCCAUCCAGACAUAUUCUAGGCAGAGUAUCUAGCUGGACGGCAAGGAACCUAAGGUUGCAAGUAGGAGUGGUGAGGGUUGAAGUGAAAGGGGAGAUCGGUGAUAAGUUCCCCAAAAAGGUUGGGCUUAAGCACGAUGAACCAAAUGCUCGGAAUGUGCUUCAUUUCUACGACAGGAUGAUGCGCUGCACACGAUCAGACCUUGACAGGAAAUGGUUCAAACAUGUCUUUAUGACUUUGGUCCUCCUGUGUGAUGAUGAUUUCAUAGCUGAGUUUGGUCCUGAUGGGGGAAUUAACCAAUCUCGGCUGGACAGUAAUUUCAUACAUGUUGAUAUUCAAGGAUGCGAGGAUGUAUGGAUCAUGGAAAAUAAGAUGGAGACAUCUGUUUGAUAUCUAUUUUGUGGCACGUGAAAGCAAUGUCUGCACUAGCUGUUGCAUGUUUUAUAAUGUGUAGUCUGUUGUAAGUUGUAACACAAAUUGUUUUCAGAAGUUAAUUUUCAGUUAUAAAGAGCCUGACUAUGAACUACCACGGAAUAUGAUGCGGGAAGAUGUGCUUCGAUUCAGGAUAGAAUGGACAAAGAAGCUGUUUCUCCCGGUGCGUAUGAUGGAUGGGUACUCUUUCUACGUGGUCGACGUUGAAGAAUGGAAUCUUCUCGUCAUGGAUCCUACCAAGACAAGUGUUCACAACGACAAGAUGAAGUUGAAACACGAAGGGAACACCCGGUGGCACAUGAUGAUCUCUGUUUUAUUGGUCCAGGUGUUGUACUGCUUCAGUUAUUUCUGAAUUUUGGUGGAUGCCUGAAUAAUGAAAGUCGUCAGGCUGUGGUCUGCAUCGUGUUAGGUGCCUUAUUUUUUUUAGAUUUAACAUGACUUGUGAUUUCUCAUGCGGCUCCUCUAGAAUGGUUGUGAUGCAAAUAGUGCACAGGUUGUUAGAUAUGUCAAUUUAUUGUCUGAUGGUGGACGCCAAGUGUCCAUCUGGAUGCACUUCGAAUGUUUGAAUUUUGAACAGCAUGGGUGGGACACAGCUGCCACUAAGAUCAUAAAAGGAGGGCACUAGAGGUAGCUGCCUGAUAGCUUGUGGCUGAUCUUGGAGUAGGAGUUGAAAACACAAAGCUGGGAGAGUUCCUUUGGGCGUACAAGGAGUUUUUUUUAGGUAAGGGCGUACAAGGAGAUGAAAGCGUCAGCAAGCGAUGGAUAUGAUUCUGUGUUGAGAGGCCUGACGCUGUAUGGAGCCUGGAGGGCCGGCAACCAGCAAUGAGGUGCGUACUCGAAGUUUUCUGGAUUCCUCCUGUCCUUCCAUUGUUUGGUUCUUCUCUGUAAUCCAAGCAGCAUGGAUUCAGAUUCCUGCUGAGAGCGUUCGGAGGCAAAUGUCAACCAGGCCAAGUUGAAGAAGAUAAUGGGAGAGGAGAAGGAAUCUUCGGGAGGAAGGAUGGAUCGCUUGGCCGCAUUUUUAUUUUUUUAUUUAGGGGCGGCUGUGGUGCACAAUUAUUGGGGCGGUUUGAACGGCCAGCGACCACCGUUUGGAAGGUAAGGUCUGAGCCGUGGCCCAAGACGCAGCUGACCGGCUGAGCCGUCUCGCGGGGGUAACGGCAGUCACAUUAAAUGCGGCAGUUGCAUGGGUCAGGGUCAGGAAAAAAGCCGCACAUACAGCUUGGAAUACAGAGUAAUACAUGUGAGAUGAUCUGAAUCUGAACGCUAGCUGAAGGCUGAGAUAUGGAGCUCAUCUGAGCUCGAGCUCAGAAUAGUACUUUCGGUCCCUAAGCGAUUUGCCUAGGCGCGCAGCUAUAUACGAAUCGUGGGACCUAUAUAUCGCUUAUAGCGAG
Long non-coding RNA from Triticum aestivum (bread wheat), 4441 nucleotides. RefSeq lists it as uncharacterized. Lineage: Eukaryota; Viridiplantae; Streptophyta; Magnoliopsida; Poales; Poaceae. The record is from RefSeq and is a predicted model, not a curated record. The transcript is spliced from 8 exons.